GCCCGGGUGGCGAAAUUGGUAGACGCAAGGGACUUAAAAUCCCUCGGUAGAAAUACCGUGCCGGUUCGACUCCGGCCCCGGGCACCA
This 87-nucleotide transfer RNA is filed under the name Gammaproteobacteria bacterium. RNAcentral's name for it is "tRNA-Leu". It matches the Rfam family "tRNA". Rfam says of the family: Transfer RNA (tRNA) molecules are approximately 80 nucleotides in length. Their secondary structure includes four short double-helical elements and three loops (D, anti-codon, and T loops). The record is from RNAcentral. Lineage: Bacteria; Pseudomonadati; Pseudomonadota; Gammaproteobacteria. RNAcentral also lists the same sequence under 1 other name.